AGUGAACGCUGGCGGUAGGCCUAACACAUGCAAGUCGAACGGCAGCACAGGAGAGCUUGCUCUCUGGGUGGCGAGUGGCGGACGGGUGAGGAAUACAUCGGAAUCUACUUUUUCGUGGGGGAUAACGUAGGGAAACUUACGCUAAUACCGCAUACGACCUACGGGUGAAAGCAGGGGAUCUUCGGACCUUGCGCGAUUGAAUGAGCCGAUGUCGGAUUAGCUAGUUGGCGGGGUAAAGGCCCACCAAGGCGACGAUCCGUAGCUGGUCUGAGAGGAUGAUCAGCCAAACGGGAACUGAGACACGGUCCAGACUCCUACGGGAGGCAGCAGUGGGGAAUAUUGGAAAAUGGGCGCAAGCCUGAUCCAGCCAUACCGCGUGGGUGAAGAAGGCCUUCGGGUUGUAAAGCCCUUUUGUUGGGAAAGAAAUCCAGCUGGUUAAUACCCGGUUGGGAUGACGGUACCCAAAGAAUAAGCACCGGCUAACUUCGUGCCAGCCGCCGCGGUAA
Molecule: ribosomal RNA, 506 nt
Filed under: uncultured bacterium
Lineage: Bacteria
Description: partial 16S ribosomal RNA
Rfam family: Bacterial small subunit ribosomal RNA
Source: RNAcentral